Molecule: long non-coding RNA, 507 nt
Filed under: Homo sapiens (human)
Lineage: Eukaryota; Metazoa; Chordata; Mammalia; Primates; Hominidae
Description: HSALNT0292942
Source: RNAcentral
GAAAUUUCCAGUUUAUGUGUUGUUCCUUGUGUAAGAGCAUGGACUUACUGCAAAUCCUGCCCUUAGGGCAAAUUCCUACCUAUUCCUGCGGAAGCAUGUGUAUCAUUCCCCUAUGGUUUAUAACCCCUGAGUCUGGGGGUAAUGGCACGGGGACCCACCAGCUUGUCUGCCGCCAUCUGGGGCUGGAGUGCAAUGGCAUGAUCUCAGCUCACUGCAACCUCUGCCUCCCGGGUUCAAGCAAUUCUCCUGUCUCAGCCUCCUGAGUAGCUGGAUUACAGAGAAACACAGAGGAGAGACCCAGAGAGAAGGAGAAGGCCGCAUGAAGAUGGAGCAGAGACUGGAGUUAUUCAGCCAAGUCAAGGAAUGCCUGGAGCACCAGAAGCCGGAAGAGGCAAGGAAGGAUCCUCCCUUAGAGCAUUUGGAAGAGUGUGGCCCUGCCAACACCUUGACUUCAAACUUCUGGCCUCCAUAACUAUGAAAUAAAUUCUUGUUGUUUUAAGCCACCAA